This 253-nucleotide ribosomal RNA is filed under the name uncultured bacterium. RNAcentral's name for it is "partial 16S ribosomal RNA". It matches the Rfam family "Bacterial small subunit ribosomal RNA", at positions 524 to 776 of the family's 1533-position model. The record is from RNAcentral.
UACGUAGGGUGCAAGCGUUGUCCGGAAUUAUUGGGCGUAAAGGGCUCGUAGGCGGUUUGUCGCGUCGGGAGUGAAAACUCAGGGCUUAACCCUGAGUCUGCUUCCGAUACGGGCAGACUAGAGGUAUGCAGGGGAGAAUGGAAUUCCUGGUGUAGCGGUGAAAUGCGCAGAUAUCAGGAGGAACACCGGUGGCGAAGGCGGUUCUCUGGGACGGUACUGACGCUGAGACGCGAAAGCGUGGGGAGCGAACAGG